Dermacentor albipictus is the source of this 186-nucleotide small nuclear RNA. RefSeq annotates it as U2 spliceosomal RNA. Lineage: Eukaryota; Metazoa; Arthropoda; Arachnida; Ixodida; Ixodidae. The record is from RefSeq and is a predicted model, not a curated record.
AUAGAUUUAGCCGACGCGGGUUAAAGUGCAGUAUCUGUUCUUGCCAGUUCAAUAUCUGAUAUGGGUUGUAUUCGGACCUAAGAUAGUAAAGUUACUUUUGCAAGUUGGCGGAAUGCUUAAGGCCUGUUUCCGCUCCGCCGCGAGUCGGGCCUGUAUGGCACUACUUUCGAGAUCGGCCCACGCAUU